This 253-nucleotide ribosomal RNA is filed under the name uncultured bacterium. RNAcentral describes it as "partial 16S ribosomal RNA". It matches the Rfam family "Bacterial small subunit ribosomal RNA", at positions 524 to 776 of the family's 1533-position model. The record is from RNAcentral.
UACGUAGGGCGCAAGCGUUGUCCGGAAUUAUUGGGCGUAAAGAGCUCGUAGGCGGUCUGUCGCGUCGGAUGUGAAAGCCCGGGGCUUAACCCCGGGUCUGCAUUCGAUACGGGCAGACUAGAGUGUGGUAGGGGAGAUCGGAAUUCCUGGUGUAGUGGUGAAAUGCGUAGAUAUCGGGAGGAACACCAGUGGCGAAGGCGACUACCUGGCCUGUUCUUGACGCUGAGGCGCGAAAGCUAGGGGAGCAAACGGG